CCAGCAUUUCCAGGUAGUCCAAGGUGUCCUACAAAAAAACCCUGGGUUAGACAUAUGGGGGUCUGG
Ailuropoda melanoleuca (giant panda) is the source of this 66-nucleotide non-coding RNA. Lineage: Eukaryota; Metazoa; Chordata; Mammalia; Carnivora; Ursidae. The record is from Rfam.